RNAcentral lists this ribosomal RNA (495 nucleotides) under uncultured bacterium. Its description in RNAcentral is "partial 16S ribosomal RNA". It matches the Rfam family "Bacterial small subunit ribosomal RNA", at positions 28 to 506 of the family's 1533-position model. The record is from RNAcentral.
GACGAACGCUGGCGGCGUGCCUAAUACAUGCAAGUAGAACGCUGAAGAGAGGAGCUUGCUCUUCUUGGAUGAGUUGCGAACGGGUGAGUAACGCGUAGGUAACCUGCCUUGUAGCGGGGAUAACUAUUGGAAACGAUAGCUAAUACCGCAUAACAAUGGAUGACACAUGUCAUUUAUUUGAAAGGGGCAAUUGCUCCACUACAAGAUGGACCUGCGUUGUAUUAGCUAGUAGGUGAGGUAAUGGCUCACCUAGGCGACGAUACAUAGCCGACCUGAGAGGGUGAUCGGCCACACUGGGACUGAGACACGGCCCAGACUCCUACGGGAGGCAGCAGUAGGGAAUCUUCGGCAAUGGGGGCAACCCUGACCGAGCAACGCCGCGUGAGUGAAGAAGGUGUUCGGAUCGUAAAGCUCUGUUGUAAGUCAAGAACGGGUGUGAGAGUGGAAAGUUCACACUGUGACGGUAGCUUACCAGAAAGGGACGGCUAACUACGU